UACGUAGGUGGCAAGCGUUAUCCGGAUUUAUUGGGUGUAAAGGGCGUGUAGGCGGGAAAGCAAGUCAGAUGUGAAAACUAUGGGCUCAACCCAUAGCCUGCAUUUGAAACUGUUUUUCUUGAGUACUGGAGAGGCAGACGGAAUUCCUAGUGUAGCGGUGAAAUGCGUAGAUAUUAGGAGGAACACCAGUGGCGAAGGCGGCCUGCUGGACUGCAACUGACGUUGAGGCUCGAAAGCGUGGGGAGCAAACAGG
Molecule: ribosomal RNA, 253 nt
Filed under: uncultured Oscillospira sp.
Lineage: Bacteria; Bacillati; Bacillota; Clostridia; Eubacteriales; Oscillospiraceae
Description: partial 16S ribosomal RNA
Rfam family: Bacterial small subunit ribosomal RNA
Source: RNAcentral